UAGGGAAUCUUCCACAAUGGACGAAAGUCUGAUGGAGCAACGCCGCGUGAGUGAUGAAGGGUUUCGGCUCGUAAAACUCUGUUGUUGGAGAAGAACGGGUGUCAGAGUAACUGUUGACAUCGUGACGGUAUCCAACCAGAAAGCCACGGCUAACUACGUGCCAGCGCCGCGGUAAUACGUAGGUGGCAAGCGUUGUCCGGAUUUAUUGGGCGUAAAGCGAGCGCAGGCGGUUUUUUAGGUCUGAUGUGAAAGCCUUCGGCU
RNAcentral lists this ribosomal RNA (261 nucleotides) under uncultured bacterium. Its description in RNAcentral is "partial 16S ribosomal RNA". It matches the Rfam family "Bacterial small subunit ribosomal RNA", at positions 355 to 609 of the family's 1533-position model. The record is from RNAcentral.